Molecule: long non-coding RNA, 3279 nt
Organism: Oreochromis aureus
Lineage: Eukaryota; Metazoa; Chordata; Actinopteri; Cichliformes; Cichlidae
Source: Ensembl
CGUGUUUCACUUCAAUUUUAUUAUUUAUCGCGCAACAUAAAACAAUAUUGUGGGUUGUUUUUUUAUUCUUUUUUUCUUUUUUAACCACAUACACUAUGUAUUCACAUAAUACACCAUACAGCUACAAAGAGAGAGAGAGACUGAACAAAAACACUUUUUUUCCUUUUUUUUUACAUACUGCAUCCUUGACAUGAAAAAUAAAGAACCAAGAACAAUCCUCAAACUUAAAGGAAUGUAGCUGCCAGUUGUGUUGGUUCACUUUCUUUUUCUUUCUUUUCCUUUUAUUUAAUUUUAUGGGUCAGGGUCUCUAUCCCAAAUUUCAAGUGUGCGUUAAAUUAGGACUGUGGGCCGUACACAGUUAGAUGCAAAUCUAUGUGUGUUUAUCUAUGUGUGUCACAAACUAUACAAAAUUUAGAAGAAAGAGAGGGAGUGAGUAAAGGAAGUGCAUCACUUGGGAGAGGAAGAGGGAGGCAGUACGCAAUUUUUUUUUUUGUUUUUUUUUUGUGUCGUUCAAAUAUCUUAGCAUUCAGUUAACAUGAACAUGUACAACAUACUCAAAAGAUCAUUUGAAUAGCCUCUGGUACUUGCAAAGUACCAAAUGUAAAACCCAGCUAACAGUCUUCAUAUAAUAUGAUUCUAUAUCUCGUCCUAUUUUAAAUGAAUUCAAGUACAGUAUGGAAUGAAGAUUAAUAGAGAAUGUAAUCAACAGUUUGAGUGCACCACCUGCCCUCAAAAAGAGAUGUAAAUUUGUAGCGUUGUAACAAAAGACUUUUCAUAAAGUCAGCACCAGGGCAGCUUCCCUUCCUGUGAAACUGCUUUAAUCAAAAGUAUAGUUCUCUUGACAUUCGAAGAGCUCAGAAAAAUAUUUGUGGUAAUUAUUUAUCCCUCGCUUUUUUUUCCUUUUUUGUAUUUUUUUUAACACAGUGAAUUUUUAAGGUAUAGCAUCAUAGCACCGACUGAACCGACUCACCCCCCAGGAUCUCAGUACUUGUCCACUUGGGAGGUGGUGCCUCUCAUGAGAACCAUCUACCAAAGUUAUGAAGCAUUUAGAAAUGUACAAAGUCACCAAGAUAUCAUAUGCACCAUAUCCUCAGCACCCUUUUGUUGUUUCGGUAAUUGUUUGUGUUGUGUGUGUGUGUGUGUGUGUGUGACUAAUAUAUGGGCAAGUCUUAAGCUCGAUAAGUAAAAUGGGUCUUGUUACUGUACUAUCAAACUACUGUUAGACAUGGCGUGGGUCAUCUAAUUAUCAUGGCAAAUGAAAGAUCUGCAGUCUUCCGCAGGGGAGCUGUGAUUUUUCUGCCACGUGCAUACUUGGCUAUUAUAAAAGCUAGAGCGAAUAAUAAUGAUGAGACAUCUAAGCAAGCAGGGCGGUGGUAACACAACUGACAAAGACUGCUGGGCAGUAACUCAUUAAAACGUCACCCAAUGUGUCACCUCAGACUGGCUCCGUGGCAGUCAGUAUAGUUAUAGGGGGUGUUUGAUAUUAAAAGAAUAGUUCAUCAUUGAAAAACUUAUUCGCUCUCCUGUUGACACUCAGAAGACAAACUCUGUACUGUUCUAAAGUCUGUAUGAUAAAUAUGAAGCCGCAGCUAUGAGACAGCUGAGAUUAGCAUAAAGACCGGGCACACAGGAAGCAACAUAAGUGACAAAAUCUGCCCGCCAGCAGCUUUAAAGCUCACUCUGUUUUCUUGUUGUUAGAUUUUUUUUCUUUGCAGGGGAAUGUGUACCAGACGGUUUCCAGGCUGCUAGCAGUGAUUCUUUUUUAUUUUUUAUGAAAUAUCUGCUGGUGGCUUUGUUAGCCUGGGUUCUAACCCCCAGUAAAAUCACAAUGUGACAGUGGUGUUGACAAAGCUUACUUAACGUGUGUUAAAGAGGUUUAAAGUGCCGGCAGUUAGAUUUUAGUUAGGCUAGCUGUUUCCCCAUGUUUUCAGCCACUCUGCUAAGCUAAGCUAAUCAGCUGCUUAAGUCAAGCUAGUAAACUAGCCAAGAGGUAACUCUUAUCACGCUCAUGGGAAUGUGGGAAUCACAUUAUUCCGAUUUUGGUGUUUGUUUGUUUUUUUAAAAAUAUGAUGCUGUCAUGAAUCUGUCACAGAGUUUGAGACUAUUGUCAACAAAAAUGAAAAUCACAACAACUGAAAGCUGUCAAGCUAAAACUCUAAAUUCCUACAUUAGCACAACUGCAACACGGGGGAUCUCUUAUUUUCGCUUUACUGUUGCCAGUGAGUCAGCUGAGUGUGGUUUCAUGUUACAUAAUUGGGCUGACUAAAUCGUUUUCAGAAAUUUCUGGGGCUCUGUCAGUCGCAUGCCGACAGGGGGUACAGUACUUAGGAAAGCAAAAACAGCAGAGUGACUAAGCACAGAUUUGCACACAACACACUGGGGCCAAGUGUUGUUUACUGAUGUUCAGGGCUGUCAGAGACUUCAGAAAUACCCCCAUGUCAUUCGUGGUUUUGUUACUUUCCUCACAAGUUAAAUAAUCUUACCUAAAUAGUUUGAUAUUUACAUUUUUUAUCUCUCUCUUGAGGAAAUUAAAAAAAAAAGCUUCAAGUUGUCAAUAAUCGGCUCUUUCUGUGUCAUUAAAAUCAAGAUUAAAAGUGCUUUUAUAAAUCUUUUCUUCUUUAUGUACAAUUUGUAUUAGCUAUAUAAAAAAUGAUGAAAAAAAACAAUAACAUCAAAGACAAUCAUUAUCAUUAUCACCAUGUAGUAAUAAAUAAGAGUAAAAAAAAAAAAAAAGCAGGUUAAAAUGAGUGUGGAGAUCUAGAGCACACAAAGGGACAUGCAUGAUUCUCUGCCCUCAGUAGCAAGUCGUGAUUGUGACCAGUGUCUCUACAGCGUGAGGUAGAGAGCUGGAGAAAAUCGGGAGAGGUAACAGGGUCUUUCACAGAUGACCAGGGCCUUGGCCCAAACGACCGCCCAGCAGCUGGGAGUCGGCUUGCAUCAGCAGUCUCUCAUUUUCAUUUCUGACACAUGUUGCAGGUGAACCAUGUGACCACAAAGGGAAAUAAAAACGAGCGAUUUACGGACUCUCGCCAGGCUAUCAAAUAGUCUCUCUCUUUGGCUCUUUUCAGACACACUCGCACGCAAAGUGAGAGAUUCAUCAAUCUGAUGCGCUCGCGUUCGGCGCCAAACCCUGGAAGCUACAGAAAUUUUCUACGGUUUCCCUUUUAUCUCUCAGUACUAUUUUCUCUGUGAAAAGCACUGCUAAAUGGGUUACCAAGAAAUGCAGUGAAUGACUGUGCUUUCUCUGCCCUGUACAGUGUACUUUUCUUUUUGUUUGAG